CCUACGGGUGACAGCAGUGAGGAAUAUUGGUCAAUGGGAGAGAUCCUGAACCAGCCAAGCCGCGUGAGGGAAGACGGCCCUAUGGGUUGUAAACCUCUUUUGUCGGAGAACAAAACCCGGGACGUGUCCCGGACUGCGUGUAUCCGAAGAAAACGCAUCGGCUAACUCCGUGCCAGCAGCCGCGGUAAUACGGGGGAUGAGAGCGUUAUCCGGAUUUAUUGGGUUUAUAGGGUGCGUAGGCGGUCCGUUAAGUCAGCGGGAAAAUUGCGGGGCUCAACCCCGUCGAGCCGUUGAAACUGGCAGACUUGAGUUGGCGAGAAGUACGCGGAAUGCGCGGUGUAGCGGUGAAAUGCAUAGAUAUCGCGCAGAACUCCGAUUGCGAAGGCAGCGUACCGGCGCCAGACUGACGCUGAGGCACGAAAGCGUGGGGAUCGAACAGGAUUAGAUACCCCAGUAGUC
Molecule: ribosomal RNA, 459 nt
Filed under: uncultured bacterium
Lineage: Bacteria
Description: partial 16S ribosomal RNA
Rfam family: Bacterial small subunit ribosomal RNA
Source: RNAcentral